This 29-nucleotide non-coding RNA is filed under the name Homo sapiens (human). The record is from RNAcentral. Lineage: Eukaryota; Metazoa; Chordata; Mammalia; Primates; Hominidae.
UAGCAAUCAGGGAAGCUGGCCUACAUGCU